ACUAAAAAGAAAAACGAAAAAAAUGUGAAAAUCGUUUUUCCAUGCCCCAUUUUUUCGAAACUUUUUUUCUCAUGCGGUUUUGCAAAACCCGUUUUCGUCAAAAACGGAGCAAUU
This 114-nucleotide non-coding RNA is filed under the name Eutreptiella gymnastica. Lineage: Eukaryota; Euglenozoa; Euglenophyceae; Eutreptiales; Eutreptiaceae. The record is from RNAcentral.